Molecule: long non-coding RNA, 2097 nt
Organism: Cyanistes caeruleus (blue tit)
Lineage: Eukaryota; Metazoa; Chordata; Aves; Passeriformes; Paridae
Source: RefSeq, a predicted model, not a curated record
GAGCUUCCCGCGAUGGGAGCGAGCAGGGAAACAGGCAGCGGAGGAGCACGGAGAGUAUUGACCAGUGAAUUUGUGCCCUCCUUGCUCUGUUUUGCCUGGAAAAGGCUGAGCUUUUCAUAUUCUGAAAAGCCAGAUGAACAGCACAAGCCAUUAGUCACCCAGGUAUUUACAGUGUUUUUCCUAUUUCCUUUCUCCCAUGGCCUCUGUGGUCAGCAGUAUAAAAUUCCUAGGCACUCCCACCUAAACACAAGUUUCCUGUUUAUGCUCUCAGUGGCUUUUAUGUUUAGCUGUUAAAACCCGUUGUCUAAAGAACCAUAAAACAAUAUGAACAGAGACUGCAGGAGAAGAGUUGUCGGCAAGAGCAACGCUGAGAUUCUCUGAAGCUGCAGGAAGGGAGAAGCUCCAGCUGACCAUCAAACCCACCCCUGGAGCCACUGUGAAUCCCUGCCCUGCCCCAGGCUUUCCUACACCUUGGUCAGACUGUACAAAUAAUUUAAAGUUAUGCUGACAUCAAGAACAUCCAAUUUAAUGCACUUUGUUGUGACCACAUGAGGUCAUAAUUUCUGAAGACACAAAAUAUGAUACCGGUCACACCACCAGAUUUAGAUAGCUCUUCCCAGAGCCUUUAGACAACUUUAUACCUAUAGCUAUAUCUAUAUCACCAGCCUAAAUUUCAGGCCCUUCAGCAGCCACACCAUGGGAACAGUGUGCUACCUGGAGCAUGGCACAGGCUGAGCAUGGGUUUGUCCACAGUGGGCUUCCAGAGCAUGUUUUUGAGUGUGUGUUUCACCUGAAAGACAUUGGGAUCAUCUCUUCCAGAUCCACUCCACAAAUGAAAAGAAAGCACAGGAAGCAGGGACAUUUGGGAGACUGGCUUUAGAAGCUGGCUCCUGGCCUGAACUAAGUCGCUGGUGUAGAUGCACCAGUGCUCAGGUUUGGCUCUUACUGUCAUGGUUCCUUCAGAUCCUCCACUUAAAUACACAGACUUCAGAGCAGUGUGCUCCCAAAUCUCGUCUUCUGACAAACUCUUUGCAGCCCUGUUCAAAUGAACCCCUUCCUGGCCUUCCCUGAAGAAGUUAACACAUGUAAAACUUCUUUCUUUUGUCACCAGCUGACAUUACUCUUUCCCACUCCAGAGAGUGGAAAAAUUUGAAUAUUUGAAAUAUUUGAAAGCACCUCCCAGGCCUGGCUGUCAACAGAAAAUUAACUUAGUCACAAAUCAAGCUAAUUUGUAGAUAGGAUGAAGCAUUACAAUAGGAGACACAUGGGUGAAAAAAACAAAAAGACAUGGGAAAUCUUUGAAGAAGUCAACACAAAGGAAGUACUUUAAUGUAGUCUUGAUUCUGCAAAUCACUUCUGUUUCAUGCUCAACAUCCCAGAGAGGCAUCAGCACCUGGAAUGUGCGUAGGCAGAAGGUAGACAGGGAGAUGACUCACUGAUGCAGGAAUACAAGAGGGGAAGCCAGAGCAUCAUCUGUGUGAACUUUUGAAGGGAAAAGAAAGUGUCUCUGCUGACAGAAGGUUACAAAUCUUCAUGCUUGUUGCAAUGUGUGCAUCCGACCACCAGCAUCAUUCUAAGAGCAGCCAAGGAAGCAUGAGAAGAAAAGACUGCUUUAAGAAAAACAAUCGGAAACCUUAAUUCUACAAGCAAUUCUACAAGCUUAAUUCUACAAACAAUAAAGCUUUUUACCAGUGCUGAGGCAAAACCAGACCUGGCAGAAUGUGAUCUUUGCCUUGCUACUAGUUCUAGGGUGAGAGCAAGCAGAAGUUUCCAGCAGAGUAUGUUUUGCUUCCACUACAAGUUACAAGGCCUCUAUGCAGCAAGUGAGGACCUCCUUGUGGCCAUUUCCCACCCCUACCAGCGACAAUGCACAAGUGUGUAAUUCGCUCUCAGUCUCUUAGGAAGUACAGCUUUCCCUUUCUCCUGUCACAGAAGUUCUAGUGCCAAUAAAAAUAUCAAAUAGGCAUAACAAAUCUGUUGUUCCUUUGUCAGGUCACUAACAGCUGUGUUCCUGAAAGCCAGAGAGCUUUCAGCAGCCCUGAGGGAGCCAGGCAGUCUCCAAGCUGGAAGUGCAGAGGGUGGAGUUGGGGCAGAGGA